This 71-nucleotide transfer RNA is filed under the name Thermosinus carboxydivorans Nor1. It matches the Rfam family "tRNA". From Rfam's summary of the family: Transfer RNA (tRNA) molecules are approximately 80 nucleotides in length. Their secondary structure includes four short double-helical elements and three loops (D, anti-codon, and T loops). The record is from Rfam by way of RNAcentral. Lineage: Bacteria; Bacillati; Bacillota; Negativicutes; Selenomonadales; Sporomusaceae.
AGGAGCAUAACUCAAUAGUGGAGCAGCGGUCUCCGAACCAUUGGUUGUGGGUUCGAGUCCUACUGCCCCUG